UACGGGGGGGGCAAGCGUUGUUCGGAAUUACUGGGCGUAAAGGGCGCGUAGGCUGCUCGUUAAGUCGGGUGUGAAAACUCUGGGCUCAACCCAGAGCCUGCAUUCGAAACUGACGAGCUAGAGUUCUGGAGGGGAAAGCGGAAUUCCUGGUGUAGCGGUGAAAUGCGUAGAUAUCAGGAGGAACACCGGUGGCGAAGGCGGUUCUCUGGGCAUGUCCUGACGCUGAGGAGCGA
RNAcentral lists this ribosomal RNA (233 nucleotides) under uncultured prokaryote. RNAcentral's name for it is "partial 16S ribosomal RNA". It matches the Rfam family "Bacterial small subunit ribosomal RNA", at positions 524 to 756 of the family's 1533-position model. The record is from RNAcentral.